Molecule: ribosomal RNA, 449 nt
Filed under: uncultured bacterium
Lineage: Bacteria
Description: bacterial SSU rRNA
Rfam family: Bacterial small subunit ribosomal RNA
Source: RNAcentral
CCUACGGGAGGCUGCAGUGGGGAAUAUUGCACAAUGGGCGAAAGCCUGAUGCAGCAACGCCGCGUGGGGGAUGACGGCCUUCGGGUUGUAAACCCCUUUUAGUAGGGAAGAAGGACUUCGGUUUGACGGUACCUGCAGAAAAAGCACCGGCUAACUACGUGCCAGCAGCCGCGGUAAUACGUAGGGUGCAAGCGUUGUCCGGAAUUAUUGGGCGUAAAGAGCUCGUAGGCGGUUUGUCGCGUCUGCUGUGAAAACCCGAGGCUCAACCUCGGGCCUGCAGUGGGUACGGGCAGACUAGAGUGCGGUAGGGGAGAAUGGAAUUCCUGGUGUAGCGGUGGAAUGCGCAGAUAUCAGGAGGAACACCGAUGGCGAAGGCAGUUCUCUGGGCCGUUACUGACGCUGAGGAGCGAAAGCGUGGGGAGCGAACAGGAUUAGAUACCCGUGUAGUC